Molecule: long non-coding RNA, 27660 nt
Filed under: Medicago truncatula (barrel medic)
Lineage: Eukaryota; Viridiplantae; Streptophyta; Magnoliopsida; Fabales; Fabaceae
Description: long non-coding RNA (MTRU_LNC002709)
Rfam family: MIR2619 microRNA precursor family (bases 11444-11610)
Source: RNAcentral
AUGGAGUUGAAAUCCAUGGAGCUCAUGGCUACCUACUUGAACAAUUCAUGAAAGAUAAAGUGAAUGACAGAACAGAUGAAUACGGUGGAUCCCUCGAGAAUCGUUGUCGAUUUCCUUUGGAAGUUGUUGAAGCAGUUGUGAAUGAGAUAGGAGCAGAUAAAGUUGGAAUUAGACUAUCACCUUUUGCAGAAUAUGCAGAAAGCGGAGACUCCAAUCCCAAUGAAUUGGGACUUCAUAUGGUUAAUGCCCUCAAUAAGUACAAUAUUCUUUACUGUCACAUGGUGGAACCAAGAAUAAAAUCAGCUUCUGAAACGAUUGAAAGCCCUUACAGUCUGGUGCCAAUGAGAAAGGCUUUCAAUGGCUCUUUCAUGGCUGCAGGAGGCUAUGACAGACAAGACGGGAUCGAUGCUAUAGCUGAAAACAAGGCAGAUCUUGUAGUUUAUGGUCGUUUGUUCUUAGCAAAUCCAGAUUUGCCAAAGAGAUUUGCACUUAAUGCUCCUCUCAACAAGUAUAAUAGGGAGACAUUCUACAUUUCUGAUCCGGUUGUUGGUUACACUGACUAUCCCUUUCUUGAAUGAAGAAAACAAUGUUGUAUUGCAGCAUCCAAGGGUGGACCUCCAUAUUAAUAAGUUGUUUUUCUUCUUAUACAUUGGUUUUGCAGUGAAUUUGGUCACUUAAUUAAGAAUUUUGUUAAUUAUAGACAUAGUUAUAUUUUUUAUUCAUUCUUCUCAUACUAGCUUCUCUGCUAGGACACACAGUGUGUAGAACCAUUAUGUACCUGAUUUUUGUAAUACCAUUUGAGCUUUGUGUUAAUGAAAAGGAUUGUUGUAGUAACCAAAUUUUUUUAAUUGCUAUGCUAUGGUAACUACCGUGAUACUAAGAAUUGACAUUGUUAUUGAUUUUGAAAAUAUCUGUAGUGAAUUUGAUUCCUGAUUUACUCGGUUGAACCACAAAAUCUUCAAAUCGAAGCCUAAUUCAAGUACUUUCAAGUAUUGUUUCAACUUGAGAUAUAAUUCAGGUACUACUGAUUGUUUCGGUUUGAUAAGAAUCUUAUCAAUGUCAUGGUAACACCGCUAAACGGUGGUUGAAGCUUCGCACCUAUGGCAUGGUAACAAAAAAUAAGAAAAAGAACAAUCAUGGAAGGUUUACGAUCCCUUUCUUCGAAGGGGAAAAUAUGAAAGACCUGUGCUAUUAUAAUUUGUUAUGAAAAAUUUUGGUUUUGACUGACUGUAGAAGAGUCGUGCCAUGUAGAAUUUUUACAUUUCUUGUCCAAGUCUAACGAUAAGAAUUUUUCAAUAUGAAAACGAUAUAUACCAGUAAUGAAAGGAAAGGUCAGCAAAAAGCAUAAAUGCUGAUACUACUUUCCAGUUUUUAUAGUAUAUAAAAACAUAUCCUCCAACUUCGUAUUCAAGUGUAUAAGAAAAGUGUAUAUUUUCCUCAUUAUAUAUCAGUAUCAGUUCAUAAUUGAUUAACUAAUCAAAUGGAAAUUAUGGUUGGUGAUCCCAUUCCUCUUCUUACUCCUUACAAGAUGGGCAAAUUCAAUCUAUCUCAUAGGUAUAUAAUAUGUUUUAAUUCCAUUUAUUAUGCUUGCUUCAAACAUAUAUAAAGUUGUUUAAAAUAUUCACUACUCAUCCUAUUCAUUUGAUUUUAGAGUAGUUUUGGCACCGUUGACCAGACAAAGAUCAUACAACAACAUUCCUCAACAGCAUGCUGUCCUAUAUUACUCUCAAAGGGCCUCUGAAGGUGGUCUUCUCAUAUCUGAAGCUACCGGGGUCUCUGAAACUGCUCAAGGGUAACUUGCAAUUAAUACAAACCAAUUUCAUAACUAUCUUUAACAAACUUCAACUAAUUAAUUCUAAUGUUAUAUAUGUGAAGGUCUUCAAACACACCUGGCAUAUGGACAAAAGAGCAAGUCGAAGCGUGGAAACCUAUCGUGGAUGCUGUUCAUGCCAAAGGUGCUACAUUCUUCGAUCAAAUUUGGCUUGUUGGUAGGGUUUCUAAUUCUGGUAUGCAUUUAGUUUAAUCAAAUUAGCAAUUAACUAACAAAUUUUUUGAUUUUUCAGUAUUUUUUUAGGUAGGAAUUGAAUUUUUGUUACAGAAUGAUAUUGAUUUAUGUUCACUAGUUUAAUUACAAAUUUACAUGUAUGUAUUCUACACAUUUAUUAUACACAUGUAAUAUUGUAUUCUCAUUUUCCAUAUAAUUCUAACCAGUUUAUCAACCAAAUGGACAAGCACCAAUAUCUUCUACAGACAAACUACUCACACCACGAAUUGGAGGCAAUGGUAUUGAAAUAUCACAAUUCACACCACCAAGGAGGCUAAGAUCAGAAGAAAUUCCUAAUAUUGUCAAUGACUUUAGACUUGCUGCAAGAAAUGCUAUUGAAGCUGGUAACUUCACCUAUCUUUACCAAUCUCUCCAAAAAUUCAAAAUGCUUCAAUAUAAGAGAGGCCGGAAUAACAACAUAAACUAAAUACGAAGAAAAAAAUCACAAAAUCCGAUGUCUCUAAGUUUUCAUCGUUAUUUUAACAUUUUAUAUCAGGAAGGCAUUUUGUGUACUAAUUAUGGUGCGCAUUGUAGUUUUGAUGGGGUUGAAAUUCGUGGGGCUACUGGAUACCUACUUGAGCAAUUCAUGAAAGAUAAAGUGAAUGACAGAACAGAUGAAUAUGGUGGAACUCUUGAAAACCGUUGUAAAUUUGUUUUGGAAAUUGUUGAAGCUGUUGUAAAUGAGAUUGGUGCCGAAAGAGUUGGAAUAAAACUAUCACCUUUUUCAGAUUUCGAAGAAUGUGGAGACUCAAAUCCGAAGGCAUUGGGGCUUUACAUGGUUAAUGCCCUCAAUAAAUAUGGUAUUCUGUAUUGUCAUAUGGUAGAAUGAAUAAGUAAUGAAACUAUUGAUGAUAAAACAAAAUGUCUUCACAACUUGGUGCCAGUGAGAAAGGCUUUCAAUGGCACUUUCAUGGUUACCGGAAGCUAUGAAAGACUAGACGGGAUCAAUGCUAUAGCUGAAAAUAGGGUAGAUCUUGUUGCUUACGACCGUUUAUUCAUAGCUAAUCCAGAUUUGCCAAAGAGAUUUGCACUUAAUGCUCCCCUAAACAAGUAUAAUAUGGAGACAUUCUGCACUUCUGAUCCAGUUCUUGGUUAUACCGACUACCCUUUUCUUGAAUGAAUAAACAUAUGUUGUACUUGUAGCAUGUAAGGGUGGCCACAUUUUUGCAAUAAAGUUGGUAAUUGAAUGUUUGAAUUGAUGGUGGAUUUUCAGAAUCAUAAUGAAUAAUCGUGAUUCAGAUAAAAACUACACUUUUUAAUAUCAACUAAAUCACGGUGUUGUCACAAUUUGACCUAACUCACCGCACAUUUCAACAUGCAUUUGGCCCUUAUAUAGCCUUUUACACACUUUCUUACACUACAAGUAAACUUCUAAUUGCAAUGAAUCCUAAUAAAAUCCUCCCCUAAACUGAAUACUGCUAUAGCAGAUCAGUUUACACAAGCAACAACAAAUCAAUCUAGGAGGAUUCACGUAGUGGUAAAAAGAAACAUAGAAUAUGUUCUUACUGUGAGGAAAAAUGAUUGUACAUUCAUUGAAAUGUGAAAUACAAAGAAUGAUACUUAUUUAUAGUAAAGUAUCUAAGUAAUUAGAGUUGUCUUGCAUUGCAAGUAACCUCUACUAAACAAGCCCUAAUUACACUAAAACAUUAUUGAAACUUAAGCACAAAAUAUAAACCUUCUAACACUUACAUCACAUGAGUCAAAUUGGACUGCUAAUUAAGGUCAAAGGCAAGAAUGCAACGUAACAGCAAACGUUAGCAAGAGCCAAGAAGCAUAAAGGCCCACAACCUCUUUCAUAGCCAUAUUAUUUCAACAUCAAAAUAAGUGCAGUACUAUACUAGGGUUCACACUUCAACCUUACACACAUAAUACAAUGUCCUAUCAAUUGAUUUAAGUUCAUGUAUCAAAAAACUAACACUUUACAUGUUUAUUUUUAUUUCUCUCUUGCUUUUUAUCUUUAAAUUUUUACACAUAUUUUAAAAUAUACUCGACACAAUCCUGUAUUUGAUAACAAUAUUUUUAUACUCAAUCAUUUUUCGUCAAGUUUUAGUAUAAUAUAUUUCAUUUACUUUGGUUACUUCAAAGUUCAAACAUAUAAAAUUGUUUAAAAUAUCCACUAACCCUGUGUGUCUAUGUCUAAUAAUAUAUUAAUUUUAAUUUUAGAGUACUUUUGGCACCAUUGACCAGACAAAAAUAGUAAUAGUACAACAACGUUCCUAAAAAACAUGACAUCCUCUAUUACUCUCAAAGGUCCUUUAAAGUCGGUCUUCUCAUAGCAGAAGCAGCCGGGGUCUCUGAAACUUGCUAACAACACUCUUCAAUUUCUUUAUUCCUCUUCAUGCUUUGAUCAAGACAAAGAUUAGUCUUAUAAGCCAAUUCCAUCGCUUUCAUACCUUAAAACUCAAAUCCAUCGCUUUCAUAUAGCCGGCUAAAUUGUUUUUAAUUACGCAAUCACGUUACCAAGAUGAAGCACAAACGUGGAGAUUUGACUUUUCACAACUUACUUAUCAAUAAGACAAAAAAGAAUAUCCACUUCCGGAACAUAUCAUAUAAAGUAAGUAGUGAUGUUCAAAAUGAAACAAACCCAAUAUAAAAAUUGCAAAUCAAACUAAUCUAAAUCGAAAUUGCAAAAAACUGCAUUUGAUUUGGAUGUAUUUUGAUCACUUUCUUACUUAACUACAUGGUUUGGUUUGGUUUGGAUUUUAUUUCAAAAGUCAAUCGGACCAAACCAAACCGCAUGUUUUUUUAUCUUAUGUUUGGAUGAUUUUUAUUCUCAAAGCCGAACCAAACCAAACCGCGAACCGCUGGUAUAAAUAUAGAUCCACCAAACGAACUCCCUUCAACUUGAACCGCAUAUUUUUCAUCAAAAGAGGGAGAAAAAAAAUUGAACUUCAUAUUUUGCCUUUUGAACUGUUAGUGAUCAUUGUAAUUUAUUUAAAUGGGUAUCAAAAUGGAAGGUACUAACAUCACUGAUCCAAUUCCUCUUCUUACACAUUACAAGAUGGGCAAAUUCAAUCUAGCUCAUAGGUACAUAGUAUUUCUCUUGCUAUUAGAAUUCAUUUCAAUGUUUUUCUCUUGCUAAAUAAUUUCACAUAAUUUCAGAGUUGUUUUGGCACCGCUAACAAGAAUGAGAUCAUACAACAAUGUUCCUCAAACCAUUGCUGUCGAGUAUUAUUCUCAGAGAACCUCUAAAGGAGGCCUUCUCAUAGCUGAAGCUACUGGUGUCUCAGACACUGCUCAAGGCUAUCCAAACACGCCAGGUAUAUGGACUAAAGAGCAUGUUGAGGCGUGGAAACCUAUUGUAAAUGCGGUUCAUGAUAAAGGCGGUAUAUUUUUCUGUCAAAUUUGGCAUGCUGGAAGGGUUUCAAAUUCAGGUAUGUAUCUAUUUCGUCAUAUCAUUAUUUAUUAUGUAAAUAAAUGUGACCGGAAGGUCUAACCAUCUGUGUCAACCUCAAUUGGCUAAGAUCAUCAAUUUUUAACAUAGACCUAGCAUAAUUUUAGCAUUACCUAGCUCAAAUAUAACAUGCUCAAAGGCGGUAUAUUUUUCUGUCAAAUUUGGCAUGUUGGAAGAGUUUCAAAUUCAGCUAUUUAUUUAUUUGCUCUAAUCAUUAGUAUUUUUUUUUUCCUUUGAUAAAAAUAAAAUUUUGAUUAGGUGACACACUUCCAAUUCAAAACUGGUGUGAACGGAAUGUUUAACUAUAUGUGCCUACACCAAUUGGUUCAAAUCAUCAGCUUUUAUUUAACAUAGACCUAUUAUGAGUUUAACAGGCCGUGUGUUAUUUUUUCUAGUCAUUUUUUUUGUCAAAAAUACAAAAUUUGAAGCAAUUUGUUGAAGAAAGUAGUAAUGGAAAAUAGAAUACUCACUCACUGUAUGUUCAUGUUCCUUCCUUGUUAACCCAACAGUUUAUCAGCCGAAUGGACAAGCACCGAUAUCUUCUACAAACAAGUCACUCACAAGCGAUGAUGUACAACAAUUCACGAAACCGAAACCGAGAACAAUUGCACUUUUGGACCCCUAUCUUUCCAAAAGUUGCGGUUAUGGACCCUUAACUAAUUUAAAUACAAAACAGCCCCCUAUGUUUUGAUUCUUUGGCAGUUUUAGACCAGAUAUAUGGCUGCUUCUUCGAUGACCAAGAUAUAGCACCUGAACCAAACAUGAAGACAUAGCCUGAAGUAGAUCUCCUCCAUAGUCAGAAUUUGACCAUCCCUAAUUAAGUACUCUCUUAGUUGCAACUAAUUGUAUUUCAGUUGGUCUAUAUAUAGAUAUAUAGCUAUCAGAAACAUUGAGAAUGUGAGAUCAGACAUAGUAUAAAUUAAAUACAUUAGGCACCCCACCAUCUGCUUAUACUUUGUUGUGUCCACUGCUCUAUCGUUUUCAUCUCUAGCUAGCUAGCUUGCUUUCUGGGACAAUAUGACUGCAUACCAUGUUGCAAUGUUCCAUGCUAAACCUUGUUAAAAUCUCUUUGGCAUAUUUCUUAGUCUCUCUCGUUUAUGAAUUUCUUAAACAAUUCAAAAUUAAUGUCUCGUUUAAAAACUCUAAAAUUUUAUGGUGAAUGUUCUUAUGUAGUUCUAACUAUUCUUACAAAAUUAGGGAACGAAAUUUGACCUACGCUUACUCCGAACAAAAUUGCAAUUUUGCAUGUUUUGGUUGAAAACUAAAAUUAAAUUUAAACUUCUUCAAAAUGUUAUGAAACUUUGCAAAUCCUUUUUAUGUAUUUUUAUAGUUGUCGCUGCGAACAAUCAACUCAAAAUUUGAUUUCUAGGUCGAGAUGUUUUGUUUUGAUUUUUGAGAUUUUAGCGCUUUAAAAAUUCAUAAAUAAUCCGACCCUAAUCGAAAAAUUCUAAUUUUUUGUGUAAAGCCAUGUUUUAAUGUCCAAAUCAUGUCGGAUAAAAAUCAUGAAAUUGAAUCGCUUUUUUGGACUUCUUGGGCUUCGUGUAUAUUAAAUAUUAAAUGGACAAGAACCAACAUCUUCUGCAAGCAAGCUACUUACACCACAAAUUGGAGGUGAUGCUGUUGAAAUAUCACAAUUCACAAUUCAAAUUGAUCUAUACAAAUCUCUCCAUAAUUCAAAUUGAUUUAAUAUAAGAGACAAUUGAGCAAAAUAACGACAGAAGUUAGAGACGUAGAAAUAAAAUUGCUCAUUAAAUUUGGCUUGCAAUAAAAUAGUUACUGAUUUCACCUUUUCUAACUCAAAAUCUUCGUUACUAUUUCAACUUUUUUAUGAUAGUACUCCAUUUUAGAUACUUGUUGUGCUGCAAAUUGUAGGUUUUGAUGGGGUUGAGAUCCAUGCUUGGGGCUCACGGCUACCUUCAUGUAAGCAUUCAUAAUUAAUACGUCCCUAGUCUUAUUUUUUUUUUAUAGACAUAUUUUAACGUAAACUUUUCUGAAUUACGCGUAUAUUAUAGUAUAGAGUCAAAAAUAAGAAGAAUUUCAAAUUACAAUAUUAAAAUAUGUGUUUUUUAUUUUAGAGAUCAUCUUCAUUGAGUCAAUUUCAACGAUUGACGCGAUGCAAUAUGAUAAGAUUUAUUGAUUCAAUUUUGAAAAAUUAGUUUGUGAAUGAUGCAAUGCAUUACAACCACAAAAAUUCAUGACAAAAUGUGAAUGACGAUAAGAUGGAGAAAUCGUACCACAGCAUAAUCAACAUCACCACACACAUACACAAUCAUGCUAUAAAUAUAGAUGCACCCUAUCAACCCCCUCUCAAAAUUUAUUCAGUUAUCACAUUAAUUUGAUUUAAUUGGUAUCAAAAUGGAAGCUGAUCCCAUUCCUCUUCUUACACCUUACAAGAUGGGCAAUUUCAGUCUCUCUCAUAGGUACCUAUUAUACUUUCAAUUUCAAUGUUAUGUUUAUUUCACUUUCUAUUCAAUUUCAAUAUCAAUAUCAAUGCUUACCUUGUCUUGCUAAUUAACCUCCCAUUUUCAGAGUUGUUUUGGCACCACUCACUAGAAUAAGAUCAUAUGGCAACGUUCCUCAACCUCAUGCUGUCCUCUAUUACUCACAGAGAGCAUCCAAAGGUGGUCUUCUCAUAGCUGAAGCUACCGGUGUCUCUGACACUGCUCAAGGGUAUCCAGACACACCAGGUAUAUGGACUAAAGAGCAUGUCGAGGCGUGGAAACCUAUUGUGGAUGCUGUUCAUGCCAAAGGUGCUACAUUCUUCUGUCAGAUUUGGCAUGUUGGAAGAGUUUCUAAUUCUAGUAUGUAUUUAAUUUUAUCUAAUGAGCAAUUAAUUGACAUAUUUUUCUAAUUUUUCAAGUAUUACUUUUAGGUGGGAAUGAAAUUUUUGUUAGAGAUGAUACUUAUUUUAUAGGUCAAAAUGCAUCUAAAGGUUCUUUUAAGUUUUUUCGUUUUUCCCAAAGUCGUCCUUUAAGUUUCAAAAGUCCCAAAGUGAUCCUUUAAGUUUCAAAAGUCUCAAAUAAGUUUUUUUAGUUUUUGAAUCGUUUCAAACAAGUCCUUUUAGAGGAUGAUGGUGAUGAUACAGAUGAUAGCAACAAAGAGCAUCCACCAUUUGCCAUGCUUAAAAAGAUGAGUAAUUUUAAGUGGGUGUUAGGAGCCAGAUUUGGUACCAAGGAUGAGUUCAAGGAAGCAAUUACCAACUAUGCUAUCUACAAUAGGACUUGUUUGAAACAAUUCAAAAACUAAAAGGACUUGUUUGAGACUUUUGAAACUUAAAUGACCACUUUGAGAAAAAUGAAAAACUUAGAGGACCUUUAAAUACAUUUGACCUAUUUUAUAUUCGCCGGUUUAAUUAAUUACAUGUAUUGUAUAUAUUUAUUAAACACAUUUAUAUACAUACACUCUCAAUAUUAUAUGCCUAUAUUACAUACAGUUUGUCAACCAAAUGGGCAAGCACCAAUAUCUUCAACAAACAAACUACUCACACCACAAAUUGGAGGUGAUGGUUUUCAAAUGCCACAAUUCACACAACCGAGGAGGCUAAGAACAGAAGAAAUUCCUAAUAUUGUCAAUGACUUUAGACUUGCUGCAAGAAAUGCUAUUGAAGCUGGUAAAUUCAUUUUUCUUAAAUUUCUCCAUAGUUCAAUUGAUUCAAUUUAAAAGUAUGAACAGAAAUAAUGACGUAAAUUAGAGAGAUAAAAAUUGUUACAAAGGUAUGACAUCUCUAACAUUUUUUCUACUUUGAAUUUUACUCUUUAGUUUAACUUACUAUAAUAGGAGGACAUUUUACAUACUUGUAUGGUGCAAAUUGUAGGUUUUGAUGGGGUUGAAAUCCAUGGAGCUCAUGGCUACCUAGUUGAACAAUUCAUGAAAGAUAAAGCAAACGACAGAACAGAUGAAUAUGGUGGAACCCUUGAAAAUCGUUGUAGAUUUGUUUUGGAAAUUGUUGAAGCUGUUGCAAAUGAGAUAGGUGCAGAAAGAGUUGGAAUAAAAUUAUCACCUUUUGAAAAAUUUGGAGAUUGUGGAGACUCAAAUCCCCAAGAAUUGGGACUUUAUAUGGUGAAUGCCCUCAAUAAAUAUGGUAUUCUUUAUUGUCAUAUGGUGGAACCAAGAAUGGAAAUUCUUGAUGAGAAAACUGAAUGUCAUUAUAGCUUGGUGUCAAUAAGAAAGGUUUUCAAUGGAACUUUUAUGGUUACUGGAGGCUAUGAAAGACAAGAUGGAAUCAAUGCUAUAGCUGAAAAUAGGGCAGAUCUUAUUGCUUAUGGUCGUUUGUUCAUAUCUAAUCCAGAUUUACCAAAGAGAUUUGCACUUAAUGCUCCUCUUAACAAGUAUAAUAGGGAGACAUUCUACACUUCUGAUCCAGUUAUAGGUUAUACUGACUACCCUUCUCUUGAAUAAUUAAACAUAUGAUGUAGCAUCCAAGGGUGCCUACAUUUUUUGCAAUAAUUGUGUCACUGAUAGUUUUAGGUCCCGUGAAGGGAACUUGUAAGAAAUAUAUAUAUAUAUAUAUACCAAAAUAUUUAGCCAUUGAAAUGAGAAUUUUGAUGCUCAUGUUUUUAUAUGUAUUCUUCUCAUACUUUUCUGCUGGGACAAUGCAAAGUCAAUGCUAUGUAGCUAAUAUUUUUUAAUCCCAUAUACGAGCUUUGUGCUAAUAAGAGAGUUAAAUUUAGUAUUGGAAACUUUUCCUUAGAUAUUGCAAUUGAGAAAAAGUCUAAUAUAGUCACGAUCCAAAUCAAAAAGAUUUAGACACAUUCACAUAAAAUAAAAAAUAAAAAAAUAAAUCAGUCAUAUCAAUUAAUUUUAUUUUUAUUUAAAUUUUUCUAUGUCUUGUGAGUGUGCCCAAAUCAUUUUGAUUUAGGGUUGUGCCCAUCUUAGACUUUCUCUGCAAUUGAAUGUUUGAAUUAGUGGUGAAACAUCGGAAUCAUGGUAAAUCCUUGUUAUUUUAGUAAAAAAUAUAUAUACACUAAAUUUGUAAGUUGUAACCGCCACCGUACGUACUAACAUUUUCCAACUAAUCAUAAGCAUCAUUUUAGUACCCAAUACUAUUUUUUCACUAUCUUUUAAAAAGAAGUUUAGAAAAGAAAGUGCGAAAUGUUUUUUAAUGGUAAAUGUUAGCGAUUAAUUUGUAAAUUAAUAUUUCUUCAUUCGUUUAAAUUUGAAUUCAAGACUUUCAACUAUUUAUCUCUUAGUUCAAACCAGUUGAGUUACCUAACUCUCUAUAUAACUUAAAUGUGUAAUUGAUAUUCAUUGCCCCACGUUUAGUGAGACAUUUGCAUGUCUAGCUUUAACAAAUCACAGUGAAAUGAGUUUUGAGACACAAGAAUCAUGGUUUAGAAGUGGAACCGAACAUGCCAUAAAUCAAUAACAUAAACUAAAAGGGAAAAGAAUGAAUCCCAGUCAACCUGAAAAAAAAUUGUUUUAGUACAUUGGGGAUACAAAUCUUUCCAAAUAUGAAUGGAAGAGAUCAAACCUAAACGGGUUAUUAGAGAGGUAUAUAUAGAAAUAUAAUUUUUUAUUUUUUUUAAGACUCACCGGUAGGUUGCCAUUUGUAAAUCUAAGCCGUUGAAUUUUAAACUAUUAAAUUAAUAGUAAAUGAGCAAAUUGAAUCACUUUUUUUUUUUGAGAAAAACUGAAUCACUUGUACACUCUAAAUUAUAAAAGCCACCCUAUAUAUAACUUAUUAAAACAAAAUAAAAAGGCUGGUACAUUUGUCAAGAAAGAAGAGUGGUAAAUAUAUACAAUAUUUUUAAUGGAGAGGUAAAUAAGAAAGAGUAUGUUAACUUAUGUUCUAAGACACAUGUUAAAAUAUUUAAGUUACAUAAAAAUUAAAAAUAUAUAAAAAACAAUUUUUGAACUUUAUUAAAAAGGAUGCCAUACAAUAUUAGCAAGUAUUUUUAGAGCAUUGUUUAAGUCUUUAAAAGUAGUAACUUUUAGGUUUAAUUGCACUUUUGGACCCCUAUCUUUUCAAAAGUUGCGGUUAUGGACCUCUAACUAAUUUAAAUACAAAACAGCCCCCUAUGUUUUGAUUCUUUGGCAGUUUUGGACCCCCAGUCCAUUGUUGACUCGGUCAACGCUGACGUGGCACCCUAAGUGAGGUGUCACGUGUCAAUUUUUUUUUUUUUUGUCUUGGGGGUCCAAAACUGCUAAAGAAUCAAAACAUAGGAGACUGUUUUGUAUUUAAAUUAGUUAGGGGUCUAUAACCGCAACUUUUAGAAAGAUAGGGGUCCAAAAGUGCAAUUAAGCCUAACUUUUACAUAGAAAAUUGUGUAACUAUGACUUUCAUAUGGUUUGACUUGUAUUUUUAAGGCAAAAUUUCCAUUUAUGUGUGUGACUUGUACUCCUUCCGUUUCCCAAUAUUUGUCGUUUUUGGAGAAUAAAUUUGCUUCACUUUACUUGUCUGUCUCUCUCAAGUUUCAAUGCAACAUUAAAUAUUGGUUUGUUAAUAAUAUUUUGGGUUAAAUAUGUUUUUGGUCCUUAUAAAUAUGUCAACUUUUUGUUUUAGUCCCUCUAAAAUUUUCCUUCAACUUUUAGUCCCUAUAAAGUUUUCAAUCUUCACUUUUGGUCCAUCUUUUAAAGUAAACUCAUAUGUAGAAUUCAUAUUAUUUAAUAAAAUUUUCCAGAAAAAUUCAAAAUAUUAUAAGAAUCACUCCAAAAAAAAUUCAGAAUUUUUUAACAAAACAUGAAUUUAAUAUGAAUUUUUAUAUUGUUUAUGGUUAAAAAUUCAUAUUUAAUUUGUGUUUUGUUAAAAAAAAACUAAUUUUUUUUAGGAAUUAUUUUUAGAAUAUUUGACACAUUUCUGCACAAUUUCAUUAAAAAAUACAAAAAUUAAAUUAUAAAUAGGGACCAAAAGUAGUGAUUGAAAAUUUUAUAGGGACUAAAAGUUGAAGGAAAAUUUUAGAGGGACUAAAACGAAAAGUUGACAUUUAUAGGAACCAAAAACAUAUUUAACCCUAAUAUUUUUACCUAUUUAUUGUAGAGAGAAAUAAUAUAAUGAAAUAAUAAAUGAUCAAUAGUAUUAUAGAAAAACACAAAGAAUUUCAUUAAAAAUAACAAAAUUUAUUCAAUUUCUUAGUAUGUGUAAUUUUCUCAAAAGUGAUAAGUAUUGUGAAACAGAUUGAGUAUUUUCAAGGCAAAAUUUCUUUUUAUGAGUUUCUUAAACAAUGCUCUUAAGACACUUGUUAGCAAGAUACUCCCUCCGUUUCACAAUACUUGUCACUUUUGGAGAAUAAUUUUAUUUCAAUUACUAUCACUUUCAAGUUUCAAUGCAACAUUAAUUAUUAGUUUGUCAAUAAUACUCUUAUUUAUUUAUUGUAGAGAGAAAUAACAUGAUGAAAUAAUAAAAGAGAAUGUUAACAAGUGUCUUGAGGGAAUUGGUUAAGUAUCCAAAACAAAUAAGUUUUUAUGAAAAAAUUAUGUAAUCAUUAUUUGAUUAAAAGUAACAUAUUAUAUUUCCAUGACGAUAUUUCUAUUUAUAAAUAAUGCAUUUAUUUCCCUUAGUCAAUUUACAUAUAUGUCCUCAGCCUCGGUGGCUUGAAUUGAUUCGUACUGUAGCAUCCAAUUCCAUCCGGCACGCAUUAUUAAAAUAAUUGACUAAAGGAAAUGUCUCAGCAGUGGGUGCAAGUUGAUGGUGUACGCUUUAGUCUCUCUAGUGGCGGUGGGAUAAAUUCACAAGUUAUUCUUUUAAUCUUUAUGAUCACACGACUAAAUUGUCGACAGCGAUCUACAUUUUGUAAUAAUUAAAAAGAAAAUUGUCAAUCCUUCUAAUUUAACUAAGGGAAAUAAAUGUCUCUUAUCAAGAAAAGUGUUACCCUUCAAAUUAAAAAAAGUAUCUUUCAUGUGUGACUAGAAUUAUCACCGAUCCAUAAUAUUUUGUGUGGUGAUUUCAUUAGUCACCUACUUCUACGAUCAGCAACAAUGGAGUAGUAUUUUGUGAUCAAAAGUAGUCAAAUUGGACUGCGGUGAGGGACCAACUCCAAUGUCAGAGAGAACAUGCAACGCAAUCGCACACGUCACAAUCAACAAUUAUAAACACAAAAGCCGCCACCACUUUCCACUUAUAGUCACUAUAUAUAAAUUACUUACUUCAAUUUAAACUUCACAUUCCAUUCUGUAUCACUUUAAUCAAGUAAUCAAGUAAAAACUAAUAAUGGCUGGUAUUGUUGAAUCUGAUCCAAUUCCACUUCUCACUCCUUACAAAAUGGGAAAAUUCAAUCUAUCUCAUAGGUAUUUUAAUUAUCUUUUCAUUCAUUUAUUCCAUUGCAUUUCAAAGUGCAUCUCAAAUAUAUCAUAUCACUCACUAUGUGUUACUGUAAUUUACUCAUUUCAUUUCAGAGUUGUUUUGGCACCACUCACAAGAAACAGAUCCUAUGGCAAUGUUCCACAACCUCAUGCUAUCCUCUAUUACUCUCAGAGAGCAGCCGGUUCUAACGGAGGUCUUCUCAUAACCGAAGCUACCGGUAUAUCUGACACCGCUCAAGGGUAUCCAGACACGCCAGGUAUUUGGACUAAAGAGCACGUCGAGGCGUGGAAACCUAUUGUGGAUGCUGUCCAUGCCAAAGGUGCUACCUUCUUCUGUCAGAUUUGGCACGUUGGAAGAGUUUCUGAUACUGGUAUGUUUUAUUUCUUCAAAUUAUCCAAGUUUCUUUGCAUGAAGAUACAUGCCUGAAAUAAUUUUGAAAAGACAUAAAACAUAAAUGAGGGAUUUUUAUUGAUUUCAACUUCUUUGAUGUUGCUUGACCUGCAUCUAUCUGUUCUUUUCCCCAACUAUAGUUUUUCAGCCGAAUGGACAGGCACCAAUAUCUCCUACAGACAAGCCACUCACACCACAACUUCGAAGUAAUGGUAUUGAUGUCGCAGAAUUCACACCGCCCAGACGGCUAAGGAUAGAUGAAAUUCCAAACCUUGUCAAUGACUUCAGACUUGCUGCAAGAAAUGCUAUUGAAGCUGGUAACAAUACUAAUCUUUACAAAUAUCUCCAAAAUUAAAAAAUUCUUCAAUGUACCAUAAUACAAUUUUGCUUUAGAGGGCACUAGGACAUUUUACAAUUCUGUAACAUACUCAUUGGGGGUGCAAAUUGCAGGGUUUGAUGGGGUUGAAAUCCAUGGGGCUAAUGGCUACAUACUUGAGCAAUUCAUGAAAGAUCAAGUGAACGACAGAACAGAUGAAUAUGGUGGAUCCCUUGAGAACCGUUGUCGGAUUGUUUUGGAAGUUGUUGAAGCUGUUGCAAAUGAGAUAGGUGCAGAUAGAACUGGAAUUAGAUUAUCACCUUUUUCAGAAUAUGCAGAAUGUGUAGACUCUAAUCCCAGAGAAUUGGGACUUUAUAUGGCUAAUGCCCUCAAUAAAUAUGGUAUUCUUUACUGUCAUGUGGUGGAACCAAGAAUGAAAACUGUUAAUGAAAGAAUUGAAUGCUCUCACAGCCUUGUGCCGAUGAGAAAGGCCUUCAAAGGCACUUUCCUGGCUGCAGGAGGUUACGACCGAAAUGAUGGGAUCAAUGCCAUAGCUGAAAAUAGGACAGACCUUGUUGUAUAUGGUCGUUUGUUCUUAGCUAAUCCAGAUUUGCCGAAGAGAUUUGCACUUAAUGCUCCUCUAAACAAGUAUAACAGGGCGACAUUCUACACUUCAGAUCCAGUUAUAGGUUAUACUGACUACCCUUUUCUUGAAUGAAGAAACCAGUGUUGUAGCAUCAAAGUGUGGAAUCUCUUCACUAAAUAAGUUCAAUACCCCUUUGCUAAUUGCUUUCUGCUAUUGAUUCCUCUCAUGCUUAGUCUGAUAAUGCUUUGGAGUUUGGAGCCAGCUCACACAUUUUGUAAAUGGUCAGGAAAACAUAGUAUGUAAGAGUAAAACUACUUUUGUAUGUGAUAAAGUCACUGUAUGCCAAAAAGAAGUUUACCUGAUUUUACAAAAUUACAAUACGCGUUUUGUGCUAACAAGAGGAUUAUUUCCAUUGUCUCGUCUUUGUUUCUUCAAUCAAUCCAUGUGUCUUUUAGAUGUUGAUGGUAUAAAUAACUAAAAUGAUGGAAACAUGAUCAAAAUUAUUUUCUGUUUAUUGGGUUAAAAUACCAAUGGUAAGCCGAAAAUAUGCAACCGAUAUAUUCCAAAUGCAAAGCUUUGCACAGCAGAAUUUUGAUCCAAGUCUAAAAUUGUAGCUUUCAUGCAUAUAGGAAGACAUAAAAUUCAUACAAAUACUUCAACUGCCUGGUCCUCGUUUCUAUAUCCCUACUUGCAAAGUUUUCAACUGUUGUAUCCCUAAUGCAGGAACUUGAAACACUCUAGGCAAGACUUCCACAUUGUAGCAAACCAAAGUUUGAACCUUAGCUGUGAUGUCUGCCACACUUCGAACCACUUUUGGCCUUGGGCCCUCUUUUGUACCAAAAAGAAAAAAGUAUUGACACACAAAUCCUUCCAAAUGAAUGGAAGAGAACGACUCCCUCUCAAAGCAAGCCGCCACUUUCCAUUUAAGUGUCAAUAUAAAAUUAGUAAAAUUAUUACAAAUCUUCAACUUUAUAUAGUUACUUUUCCAUCAGAAACAAAUCAUUCUUAUGGAAGUGAUUCAACAUUUCCUUUGUCACAAGGUAGGUGUAAUGUAUCUUGUAGUCGUUCGUGUCAUUGCCAACUAGUAGUAUGAUGUUAUAUGUACAAUAUGUUUCACCCUUUGAGUAGAAUCAUUAUAAUUUAAAGGGAAAAAAAUGGUUGAAAACCCCUAUUAAAUCUGAUAGCGUAACGACCGGAUCCAACCACCACGAUUUGUACAGUUCAAUUAUAUAUAUUAACGUAUUUCAAUAGAUAUGAUAAAAAUGAAAAGGGAAUAAGUUGAGAGAAGAAAAAAUGUAAGAAGGAAACAUAAAAUGAUGUGAGAGAUUAAGAAAUGAGGGUAUGUAUUUAUAGUAUUUAUAGAAUUUUUACUAAGGUGCUGUUUGACCCGACUUUUUUUCAACUUUUCUGCAUUUUUAAGGAGAAGUUAUGUCAAACACAAUAUCAAUUAAAUUUAUGUUAUUAUUUCUCCUAUUCAAAUAUUUAACAAGUCAUGAUACAAAUUUGUAUUCAUGUUACAUAAAAUAAAAGUCAUUGAAUAAAUAUAAUAUUUGUAAAAAAAAAAUCUUUUAUAUUUUAAAUAUUUUUACCCUUCAGAACAUAUUUUAAACAUUUUUUUAUUUAUAAUGUUAAUUCAUAAUAAAUUCAAAGUUUUAUCCUCGUGGGCUUAGCUCAGUUGAUAGGGAUAAUGCAUAAAUAUAUGCAAAGUUCGGGGUUCGAACCCGAACACCAUAAAAUAAAAAUAAUAAAUUCAAAGUUUGUACAAUAUUUUGUCAAACAAUUUUUAACUUAAAAAUAACUCUAAAACUAAAAAAAAAAAAAAAUACAUAGAAAAAACCAAACAACUUUAGCUUAGAAAACUACAUCUCAAGUCCCGCUUGUAGGGAUGGCAAUGGGUACCCAAUGGGGGGUACUACAGUGUCCGUCCUCAUACUCGCAUUUAUAAAAAAUACCCGUGCCCGUACCCUCGUGGGCAACAACUUUAGUCCCCUUCCCCAUAUCCUAUGGGUACCUAAUUGCCCAUACCCGCACCCAUUACACGCACUUUAACUAUGAAAAAACAAAAAAAAACAUCACAAAUGAAAUAAAACUACGAUCCCAAUUUUUUAAAAUUAACUCAUAAAAUAAUAUGAAUCGUGGUAUUUAGUCAAAUAGAAAACAUUCAAAAUAUCCCUAAAAAAUUAUACACCAACAGGCAUGAUAGAGUUGUUAUUGUAUUAAGCAGUUGUUUGGUUUAAGUUUAGGUUUAAGCUUAAAUAGCUAAAUUAAUUAAUUAAUUAAUUAUACAUAAAAAAUAAUAAAUAAAUAAUUUAUGAUAUUAUAUAAACAUGUAUAUGCGAGGUUGUGGGUCUGGGCAAUAUAGUACUCUUAUUCGUGUCCAUACCCAUUUAAUUUUGUAGGUAUUACCCGUACCCGUGCUCAGACUCAUAAAAGUGGGGUUUUAUCCUACCCAUUGUGGGUAUUUUUUGCGGGUACCUAUUGAAUCUGGGUCCAAUUGCCAUCCCUACCCGCUUGUGACAUAUAAUAAGGGAAAAAAAAAAUCAGCUUUUUAGUAUGUCGCAAGGCAGAGGGGUUGCAUGUCGCAAGUUGAAAAAAAGUAUGGUAGAGUUGGAAGAAAAAAAAUAAACUAGGGUAGUGUUAUUUUUUAGGAAACAACUAGGGUAGUUUUAGAAUUUUGUUUUUAAAGCAGGGUAGAAAUUUUUUUCCUUCAGAUUUUGGUUGUGCAAUUUGUACUGUACUGUGCAUGGCAACCAACUAUGUUUUCAAUGAUAAGAAGAUCUAUGGUGCUGCUGCUGUUAUUCCCAAAUACAGCAAGUUUGCUCCUCUUAGUCGUCGUUUUGUUUCAACCCUGAUGCCGCGGCUGUCCCCUCUUUUCCUCGUGACUAUUGCGGUAAUUACUACAAUGCUAUCAAUACUUUCAAUAUACUGCUUGAUCGAGGCUACUCUUCCAUAUAGUAAUUACAAUUAUGUUCUUUCUACCCUUGCUAGAAUGGGUUCUUCCCGAGUUGUUGUCAUCCCAAUUCAAUAAUCGUCUUGUUGUCCCAAACAUUCAUCAUACUUUGACUAUUCUCAUCCAAUCCAUCCCACUCUAGAGCAGGUAACAUGUCUUCAGCUAUCGACUCAUUAUCCUACUACUCAAACUUUGAACGAUCUUUUAGAUUUUUUUUUGUCGUAGACACCAGAUUCACCAAGCAAUACAUUUUCUUAAUGAUAUCAUACUUACAAACAGUAAUCUUGUAUUGAACUGCCGUAGUUAUAGUAUUCUAAUGAGGUACCCAUCUUUCUUGUUUUAUGUUUGUUUGAUUAUAUAAAGAAUUGUAGUUUGCAAUGGAAUUUGAUACGUUUCUCCUCUAUUUUGGUGAGAGAUAAUUAGUCUUUUAAACCGAUCAUUCAAGACUGAAAUGAGAUGUUCAGGAUUUUCUCAAUUUCUUUAGGAUAACAGUUUCAAUUUCAUCCAUAGAAACACAAAUUAACAUUUCUAUAGGCUCCUAACUUGCGGUCUGCCCUAUUUCCACCCCUAGUUUUAAUGCAUAUAUACAAUUUAGCAAAUCAGUAUACUACUUUUAUAAUGGACAAAUAUAUUUUAUCAAUUCAACAUGCCAAGUCCGUGUUGACCUCAAUUCUCUAUUUCCUACUUUAAUACUUAAAGUUUAGAUGUUCAAUAAACAGCUUACAGGGCUGUGGGAACUAACCCUUAUCAUACAAAAUCUGUCUCCAAGUCUGGAGUAGUUUCUUAGUUAAUGUUUCAUUCAUGUUUUUAUUAAUUUUGAAACUUUAUUGUUUCUUAUUUUAUGCUUUGCACAUAAAUAUUAUAGGUGGAUAUGAAAUUUCCUUGGAAGAGAAUAAGACAAUAUAGUUAGUUCUAAAAUUGUUUUGGUUCAUCGCAUUGAAGGUAUGAAGUUUUUUUUUUUUUUUUUUUUUUUUUUUGAAUCUGAAUCAUGUUCUGAAAUGUUCCCUUAUUACUAAUAACUAAUAGAGGAUAAAUUAUAGAUCCAGAGUUGGAUUGACUAACCCUGUCUUGGUUAUAAAAAACCAACAGUAUCUACUGCACUUUCCUUCAAUAACAGGUUAGAAGUUUUUCAGAUUGAAAUUUUUGCCAUUAGAGCUGCAGUAGCAUUGUUAUUAAAAUCUUGAUCAGAAUUCUGAAAUACUACGAUUUGUUGUCUUGCCGAUCUUAAUCCUAAGUAGAAUUGUAAACUGCAAUAUCCGUUCGAAAUUGUUUAUGUUUAAGCGAUUUUGUGUUGCCUUAUAAUUGGCGCGUCCGUGAUGUGACGUAGACUUGUAGUUUUUAGAAUUUGAGUAUUUUGUAUACUUGGUUGUUUUGUAUUUAAGAUUUAAGAUUUGAGAUUUUAAGUCGAUUAUGUUUAAGCUUUGCCACUAGUUUGUUUUAUGUUUAAGAUUUGAGAUUUGGUUGUUUAAGUUUGCUUUAAGUUUUCAAACUCUUUAAGUUUAUUUUUUUGUUUUGAGAGAAACUCUUAAGUUGUUUAUGCACUUUACGGUAUAUAUUUAAUAUUAUUCGAGUAGAAUCUUUUGAUUUUGGUUGCGAUCUUGCUAUCGCCUUUCAAUUCUACAAAAUCAAUUGAGUAGAAUCCAUUAAUUUUGGUUGCGAUUUUAGGUUUUGCGAUUUAACUAUCCUCUUUGAUCAGAAGCAAAAUCUUAAUUUUAACGUUAGUGUGUAUAUGGAAGCCUUUCAACGUAUGUGACAUUGGGAGGGUCCUCAACAAAUCAGAAGCUUCAUGUAGAUGGUAAUGGAAUGUGGUUUGAAGGCAGAUGAAAAAACAUCUACUAUUACUUCUUCUUUUUUUGAAAGAAAACAUCUACUAUUACUAUUACUAUAUAUAUGCCUAAUUAGAAAAUAUAGUAAUGCAAUGGGAUUUUAGUUUACGUGAAUCUUAUGAUUUUUCUUAACAAAUGUCUAACUACUUUUACUAUAUGCCUAAUUAAAACGCCAAGCAACAACGUUUUGCCUUAAUUUACCAUUAUCUGCAAUCGUCUCUUCUUUUUUUUUAAUAUAAUUAGCUCCAAUAUCUCGCAACCACCUUAAGCACACCAAUCAAGUUCCACCAAAUGCACAUCACCAAUUAUUACUCUAGCAUACAAGUUUGGUCAUGGAAAAACCAAUCCAUCUAUGGCCAACAAUACUCAAGCAACAUAAAUACAUUAUAUAGCAGAUUCCACAAGAGUCGUCGUCGCUAAUCAUUUGUUGUAUAUUUUAGAUCACCGUCUCCCUCUAUUUCAGGUUGUUGUUGUUGAAAGACUACCAUAAAAAAUUCAUCAAGGUGUUUCUAAUAUCUAAUUUCUAAUAUCCUUAAUAAAUAAAUCAACUUUCAUAUGUUUAGUCCGCACUAAAGUAUAUAAAAUAAAACAUUGUUCUGUAUUGAUGAAAUAUAAACUAGUUCCAAAGGUUGCUAUAAUUAGUAAUUCAAUGAUCAGCACCAAUAAAUAUAUUUCGUAAAGAAGACUUCGUGAUCACAUUAGUCAAAUUGGACUGCGGUGAGAUACUAACUAUCUCCAAGGUGAGAGAAAGUACAACGUAAUACCUCACGUCACCAACAAGUAUAAUAAAUUAAUAAUAAACCGCCAUCACAUAAGUUUCACUAUAAAAUACUUCAACUACAACUACAACUUCACAUUCAAUUUCAAAUUGUGCAUCACUUAAUAACGUAAUCAAGUGAAAAUGGCUGGUAUUGUUGAAUCUGAUCCAAUUCCUCUUCUUACUCCUUACAAAAUGAGAAAAUUCAAUCUAGCUCAUAGGUAUUUUUAUCUUUUCAUAUAAUCUCAUAUUCAAUUUCAAGUGCUCAAAUGUUCACAUAACAAUUUACUCAUUUCAUUUCAGAGUUGUUUUGGCACCACUCACAAGACAAAGAUCUUAUGGCAACGUUCCACAACCUCAUGCUAUCCUCUAUUACUCACAGAGAGCCACCGGCUCUAACGGAGGUCUUCUCAUAACCGAAGCUACCGGUGUCUCUGACACCGCUCAAGGGUAUCCAGAUACGCCAGGUAUUUGGACUAAAGAGCAUGUCGAGGCAUGGAAACCCAUUGUGGAUGCUGUUCAUGCUAAAGGUGCUACCAUCUUUUGUCAGAUUUGGCAUGUUGGAAGAGUUUCUGAUUCAGGUAUGUUCUAUGAUACAUGCAAAGAAACUUCUAUCUCUUCAAAUUAUCCAAGUUUCUUUGCAUGAAGAUACAUGCCUAAAAUAAUUUUGAAAUGACAUAAAACAUAAAUCAGUGAUUUUGUUGAUUUGAACUUCUUUGCUUUUGAUUGACCUGCAAUGCAUCUAUCUGUUCUUUUCCCCCAACUACAGUUUUUCAGCCAAAUGGACAGGCACCAAUAUCAUCUACAGACAAGUCACUCACACCACAAAUUCGAAGUAAUGGUUUUAAUAUUGCAAAAUUCACACCGCCUAGACGGCUAAGGACAGAUGAAAUUCCUAACAUUGUCAAUGACUUCAGACUUGCUGCAAGAAAUGCUAUUGAAGCUGGUAACUUUACUAAUCUUUACAAAUGUCCAAAAUAAAUAAACAUAUAAAAUCUUCAAUGUAUCAUAGUACAAUGUUUGUGAUACAUAGAUCUUUUUGCUGCUUUAGAGAGCACUGGGACAUUUUACAAUUAUAUAACAUACUUACUAGGGCGCAAAUUGCAGGAUUUGAUGGGGUUGAAAUCCAUGGAGCUCAUGGCUACCUCCUUGAGCAAUUCAUGAAAGAUAAAGUGAAUGACAGGACAGAUGAAUAUGGUGGGUCUCUGGAGAACCGCUGUCGAUUUGCUUUGGAAGUUGUUGAAGCUGUUGCAAAUGAGAUAGGAGCAGAAAGAGUUGGAAUAAGAUUAUCACCUUUUGCGGAGUAUGCAGAAUGUGGAGACUCCAACCCCAAUGAAUUGGGACUUUAUAUGGUCAAUGCCCUCAAUAAAUAUGGUAUUCUUUACUGUCAUAUGGUGGAACCAAGAAUGAAAACUGUUGGUGAAAAAACUGAAUGCCCCGACAGCCUUGUGCCAAUGAGAAAGGCCUUCAAAGGCACUUUCAUGGUUGCAGGAGGUUACGACCGACAUGAUGGGAUCAAUGCCAUAGCUGAAAACAGGGCAGACCUUGUUGUAUAUGGUCGUUUGUUCUUAGCUAAUCCAGAUUUACCAAAGAGAUUUGCACUUGAUGCUCCUCUGAACAAAUAUAACAGGGAGACGUUCUACAUUUCUGAUCCAGUUCUAGGUUAUACUGACUACCCCUUUCUUGAAUGAAGAAACUGAUGCUGUAGCAUCCAAGUGUGGAAUCUCCUCACUAAAUAAGUUCAUUAUCCCUUGCAAAUUGAUUUCUGCUAUUGAAUUUGUCACUGAAAUAAGAUUUUGAGCAAUAUGUAUGUUAUUGAUUCCUCUCAGGCUUUACUCUUACUAACACUUUGGACCCAGUUCACACAUUUUGUAAAUGGUCAGGGAAUAUAGUAAGAGCAAAACUAUUGUUGUAUGUUACUGUGAUAAAGUCAAUGAAUGCCAAUAAGAAGUUUUCGAUAAAAACUAUGAACCUGAUUUUACAAAAUUACAACUUGAGUUAUGUAGUCAUAAGAGGAUUAUUUCCGUUAUCUCAUUUUUGUUACUUCAGUCAAUCCAUGUUUUUAUAGAUGUACUUAUAAGAUCUAAUUAAAUGUUUAAAUAACUAAAAUGAUGGAAACAUUAUCAAAAUUCCUUUCUGGUUAUUGGGUUAUGUAAGAGAGUAUGGACAAGAUACCAGUGGUAAGCUGAAAAUAUAAAACCGAUGAAUUCCAUACACUAAGAACUGCAAAACAGAAUUUUGAUCCAAAUUCAAAAUUGCAGCUUUUAUCAUGUGGUAAAUUAUUGGUAAAAAAACCUUUACAAAGAGUCUAAUGAAUUUCAAGACACCUAAAGCUAUGACCUCAGCAUGAAUAUCAGCUUUGAUGAAGUACAACUUGCAUGCUUUACCCAGCACCAAUAUCUCACAACCUCCUUAAGCACACCAAUAUCAAGUUCCACCAAACGCACAACACCAAUGAUUAUUAUUCUAGCAUACAAGUUUGCUCGUGGAGAAACCAAUCCAUCCGUGGACAACAAUACUCAAGGUCUCAAGCAACAUAGAUACAUUAUAUAGCAGACUCCAAAUCACAAAGUGACACCAAACUAUUAAAACCAUCAUGUCUCGACAAUGGUUGCUACAAACCAUCGCCAAAACGAAACAUAACAUUGUUUAAUAAAGAACUUCAAUGGAAUAAAUUUCCAACCACUAUACAUCUGAAAUUUCAUGAAAAAUAACCAGAUAAUGGACAGUAACAAAACUAAACUCAAUCACUAUGAAACACUAAUAUAGAUACGAACAUAUCGGACAAGACACUAUUGCUAUCAAAUUGACUCCCAUAAUAAUUUGAGAAAAUGACAUAGUUGCUUGUGACCCAAUGUGUCAGACUGUCAGUGUCGGUUUCAGACACCAACAUUCAAGAUUGGUUUCAACUUGCUGAGUCUCGGAAUCAGUUUUGUGGGCGUCAACAAGCUAACACAUGUCGGAAGUAUGUUUGUUUAGAAAUGCUGGUGCUAACCAAUCAAAAACAAUUAGAAUCAAAAGCCUCCAAACCAGACCUUACAAUUGAAUAAAUUUCCAAUCACGGUACACCUGAAAUUUCAUGAAAAAUAGCCAGACAAUGGACAGUAACCAAUCACACUAUAAAACUGAGACAAAUUCUAACAUCGGACACAACACUAAUUUUUUGCAAGAAAAUGUUGGUUGGAAAACACUGCUAAUUCUACUCACAAGAAAAACACUCACUACUAUAAACAUAUAAAAAGCAAAACCACACGCACGAGGUACUCAUUGUUCUGUUCUGUUCUGUUACAAACAGCACCGUGAAACUCUUUCUCUUUCUCUAACCUCUUUUCGUUUCACUCCAUGGAUGCAAACCUCGCUGGCUUUUCUCAUUAUCCCCGCACUUCUCUUCGUUUCAUUCAUUUCACUCUUACUAUGUUUCCUUCAUCACCGCCGUUCCAACACAACGCCACCACCGACGACUGUUACCGAAGCAUCGGUAAUUAUCGACCGACUCCCUCUCUUCCGUUUCUCCACGCUUUUCACUCUUAUUGCAUAAGCAGAUGGCUCAACACGAAUUUGUCUUGUCCUCUCCGAUUCCAACACCGACCUCUUGGCCAUUCUCCGGUCACCUCCGUUUGACAGUAUCACCGUCCAAAUAGGAAACGUGAGCCUCGUGCGGGAAACCACCACCGAUCUCGAAUCCGUUUGACGGAGUCGUCGGAAGUUCCGUUAAGUGCAACGGCGUCGUUUGGUAGCAGUCGCAGGUUUGAGGUAUUUGACAGAAAUGGUGAAGAGAUAAGCGUUUCAUUUUAUUUGAUCUUGCUUUACCAUUAAAACUGCAAUGGAGCUUUCCAUUUUCAUUUUACUGUUUGAUUUGAUUACAUGCAAUCCCAAUUAGAACUCAGAUUACUGCCACGUCAGACAAAUUGGUGCAAAGGAACUUUUGAUUUUUCAUUUUUGAAGUAUUUUGGAACCUUGUAAAUGGCUGAAUUUUGGUGGUAAUCACAUCUUUGUCUUUAUCUUUAAAUAUAAAUGCUAGAUAGUCUGCGGGUAGCCCUAGUUAACCAUAAUCCUUUUUUUUUAUUAGCGUAAAAAAUCUUUAUGGAAAAAAACUAUGUAAAAUUCGAACUCAAGACCAAGUGCCUUCUUCUCAACAUUUUGACCACUAAAAUACUAACAAUUUUCUUGAUUUAAUUUUGUUUCUAUUAAUUAAUAUCCAAUAUUAAAUCUCUUUUUCGUUUCCCACUAUCACAUUAUCCAUAACCCACUAACCACCUAUUAAUUUCUACCCACACAGUUUUUUUUCUAUUAUAAUUUCUACCCACAGAGUUAUUAUUAUCAACAUCACAACUUCCCACUAACCUUAAUGCAUGACUAAACUUUUUGACAAAUUAUCUCGUCAUUAAUCAUUAUUUCAAGAUAGCUGCUUAUAGCAUUUUUAUAAGCAAUAUAUGUUUGAUUUCAUUUUUAUUCUUUAUUUUUUUUUAUGAAUGAUAUAGUCCAUUAAAUGAAUGAUUUAGUUUUUUUAAAACAUUAUUGUAUUCCAUUAAAUGUUUUUAAUAGGCCAAAUACCUCCCGGGUCUUUUAAAUUUUAUGUUUGUCUCAGAUAGAUCCUUUAAGUUUCUAAGGUUUCGGAUGGUCAUUUAAGUUUCGAGUUUGUUUCGGAUAGGUCUUUAAGUUUAUAAGGUUUCAGAUAGGUCCUUUAAGUUUCAAGUUUGUUUCAGAUAGGUCCUUUAAGUUUCAAGUUUGUUUCAGAUAUGUUCUUUCUAUCAACCUCUCUUAAGCCAAAGUUAAAGAACCUAUCUGAAACAAACUCGAAACUUAAAGGACCUAUCUGAAACCUUAGAAACUUAAAGGACUUAUAAGAAACAAACGUAAAACUUGAAGAACUUGGGGAGGUAUUUCGCCUUUCUAAUAAUAUAGUCAAUUUGAUAACUAUACAUGAAAUUGUAAAAAACCAUUAAAAAAAAUGAAACUCUAAAAAACCCAUGCUCGCACGGAUUAAAGUCUUAGUACACUAGUAGAUGACUAUCAUUAUUUUAAGGUCAUGUUAACCGAUCUCUCUGAACACCGGUUAAGGAUACAAAAAAAAAAAAAAAAUUAUCAAAAAAGAUUUUUUUUUUAAUUUUAUGGAUCAAUUAAACAAUUUUCAAUACAAUAAUUAUUAUAUAAUUUUUUUUUUUAAGUAUCAUUAACGAUUGCAGUUAACUUUUCCCUUAUUUUAAUUAUUUGUUUCAUAUAUUGAAAAAUUGAAAGUAUUAGACUACCGAAUUGUGAAAGAUAUGUCUGCACAUUUGGAAGCAUAUGUAAUUGGAAGAGAACGAACCUAGACGGAUUAUUUGAGAGGUACAUAACAACAUAUAUAAAACCAUAGGCACUUUCCACUUUUAGUUUCUAACAUAAAAUUAGUUACAAAGCUUCAACUUCAACUUCGGUACCGAAAAAUGGCAGGUAUUGUUGGAUCUGAUUCAAUUCCUCUUCUUACUCCUUACAAAAUGGGUAAAUUCAAUCUAUCUCAUAGGUAUAUAAAUAUAUUUUCACUCAUCAUUCCAUAUUCAAUUUCAAAGUGCUUAAUUGCUCAAAUAUUCACGCACACCAUGUGUUUGUGUUAUUUACUCAUUUUCAUUUCAGAGUUGUUUUGGCACCUCUCACAAGACAGAGAUCCUACGGCAACGUUCCACAACCUCAUGCUAUCCUCUACUACUCUCAAAGAGCCUCUAAAGGUGGUCUUCUCAUAGCCGAAGCUACCGGUGUCUCUGAUACCGCUCAAGGCUAUCCAAACACGCCUGGUAUAUGGACUAAAGAGCAAGUCGAUGCAUGGAAACCCAUUGUGGAUGCUGUUCAUGACAAAGGCGGUGUAUUUUUCUGUCAAAUUUGGCAUGUUGGAAGAGUUUCUGAUACUGGUAUGUUCUAUUUCAUCAAAUUAUCACGAACCAAUAAGCAAAACUACCGCGAGUUGGCACACAAGUAUUGAUUCAUAGUUCCCUUGUGGACUGAGUGAAUCAUGUGACCAGGAGUUCGUUUUUCUUUGCAACAGUCGUAAUAUAGAUUUAACAUGACAUAAAAUAUAAAUGGGGAAUUAUGUUUAUUUGAACCUAUUACUCUGAUUAACAUUCCUUUGUCUUUAGUCAAAUUGUAAUUGUGGAAAGAAUUGGUGUAAAAUGUUGUUAACAGAAAAAUGAUAUGAUAUAUACUAGGACAGUAGGAUGCACAUAUUACCUUAAGCGAGGAAAAUUGAAUGAUCAAUUUGUAAGUAGUGAGCAGCGCAAGCUAAACUGACUUUUGGUUAAUAAAUGUGUUAUGUGUCACGUUGCCUUUGUUUUCAACCUGUUGUGAAAAUAUACUUAUGGCAUCAAUCAAUUAAACUGCUUACAUUAAAAUGGGUUUGAAUGGAGUGUGAGAUUGUUGUUAUCGAGUAUUAUUAAGGGGAAACUACAUUCUGAUUUUUAACUAUCACACAUAAAUGUUCUCAUGCUUGUGAUGUACACACUCAUUGUAUGCUAAUUUUCCAUGUUAUUCUCAACAGUUUAUCAGCCAAAUGGGCAAGCACCAAUAUCUUCUACAGACAAGCCACUAAAACCACAAAUUCGAAGUAAUGGUAUUGAUGUUGCAAAAUUCACACCACCAAGGCGGCUAAGGACAGAUGAAAUUCCAAACAUUGUCAAUGACUUCAGACUCGCUGCAAGAAAUGCUAUUGAAGCUGGUAACUUUACUAAUCUUUACAAAUGUCUCAAAAAUUAAUAAAUUAUUUAAUGUAUCAUAAUACAAUGUUUGUGAGACGUAGAGAUUUUUGUUACUGGCACUAGGACAUUUUCCAAUUAUGUAUCAUACUUAGUGGGGUACAAAUUGCAGGAUUUGAUGGGGUUGAAAUCCAUGGAGCUCAUGGCUACCUCCUUGAACAAUUCAUGAAAGAUAAAGUGAAUGACAGGACAGAUGAGUAUGGUGGAUCCCUUGAGAACCGUUGUCGGUUUGCUUUGGAAGUUGUUGAAGCUGUUGCAAAUGAGAUAGGAACAGAAAGAGUUGGAAUAAGAUUAUCACCUUUUGCAGAGUAUUCAGAAUGUGGAGACUCCAACCCUAAAGAAUUGGGACUUUAUAUGGUUAAUGCCCUCAAUAAAUACGGUAUUCUUUAUUGUCACAUGGUGGAACCAAGAAUGAUAACUGUUGGUGAAAAAACUG